AAAGGGGAAGCCGAAAAACUAAUAGAGUAGGCA
This is a non-coding RNA of Kordia algicida OT-1, 33 nucleotides long. NCBI's taxonomy places the organism in Bacteria, Pseudomonadati, Bacteroidota, Flavobacteriia, Flavobacteriales, Flavobacteriaceae. The record is from Rfam.